UACAGAGGUGGCAAGCGUUGUUCGGAAUUACUGGGCGUAAAGGGCGCGUAGGCGGCCAUUUAAGUCAGACGUGAAAUCCCCAGGCUCAACCUGGGAACUGCGUCUGAUACUGGGUGGCUUGAGUUCGGGAGAGGGAUGCGGAAUUCCAGGUGUAGCGGUGAAAUGCGUAGAUAUCUGGAGGAACACCGGUGGCGAAGGCGGCAUCCUGGACCGAAACUGACGCUGAGGCGCGAAAGCUAGGGGAGCAAACGGG
Molecule: ribosomal RNA, 253 nt
Filed under: uncultured bacterium
Lineage: Bacteria
Description: partial 16S ribosomal RNA
Rfam family: Bacterial small subunit ribosomal RNA
Source: RNAcentral